This 295-nucleotide ribosomal RNA is filed under the name Diversispora epigaea. It matches the Rfam family "Eukaryotic large subunit ribosomal RNA", at positions 430 to 713 of the family's 3401-position model. The record is from RNAcentral. Lineage: Eukaryota; Fungi; Glomeromycota; Glomeromycetes; Diversisporales; Diversisporaceae.
CAGUCGCGUCGGCCGGGAAUCAGCUUCGCUCUUGCGUGGUGUACUUUCUGGUUGACGGGCCAGCAUCAAUUUUGACUGCUGGAAAAAGGCUUAGGGAAUGUGGCAGCUUCGGCUGUGUUAUAGCCCUUGGUCACAUACAGCGGUUGGGAUUGAGGAACUCAGCACGCCGCAAGGCCCGGGGUUCGCCCACGUUCGUGCCUUAGGAUGCUGGCAUAAUGGCUUUAAUCGACCCGUCUUGAGACACGGACCAAGGAGUCUAACAUAUGUGCGAGUGUUCCUGAGACUACCAAGGCAC